Ribosomal RNA from Danio rerio (zebrafish), 117 nucleotides. The record is from Ensembl. NCBI's taxonomy places the organism in Eukaryota, Metazoa, Chordata, Actinopteri, Cypriniformes, Danionidae.
AGCCACAGCCAUAUCACCCUGCAGCCCAAAACCGGUUUCUCACUGAAGCUGAGCAGGGCUGAGGCUGGUCAGUACCUGGAUGGGAGAUCACAUGGGAAAACUAAGUUGCUGUUGGAA